AGAUUGAACGCUGGCGGCAGGCCUAACACAUGCAAGUCGAGCGGCAGCACGGGUACUUGUACCUGGUGGCGAGCGGCGGACGGGUGAGUAAUGCCUAGGAAUCUGCCUGAUAGUGGGGGAUAACGUUCGGAAACGGACGCUAAUACCGCAUACGUCCUACGGGAGAAAGUGGGGGAUCGUUCGGACCUCACGCUAUCAGAUGAGCCUAGGUCGGAUUAGCUAGUUGGUAGGGUAAA
RNAcentral lists this ribosomal RNA (236 nucleotides) under uncultured soil bacterium. RNAcentral's name for it is "partial 16S ribosomal RNA". It matches the Rfam family "Bacterial small subunit ribosomal RNA", at positions 26 to 261 of the family's 1533-position model. The record is from RNAcentral.